RNAcentral lists this long non-coding RNA (978 nucleotides) under Vombatus ursinus (common wombat). RNAcentral's name for it is "lncRNA (ENSVURG00010013758.1)". Lineage: Eukaryota; Metazoa; Chordata; Mammalia; Diprotodontia; Vombatidae. The record is from RNAcentral.
GACUUUAGAAACGAGGAACUGGAAGACUUCUCCAUAAGAGCUUUCUCUUUGAGCUAAAGGAUGAAACCUCUAAAGCUCUACUUGACUCAGUUUAGUUGCUUUCAGGAUGAAGUGUAAGGCUUACCACCCUGCAUGCUCCAUGCUACACAACAUGAAGACCCUGAUGCUUUUAGGACUUGUGCUCUUGUGUAGCCAGUUCACACUGAGCUUGGCCCAGGAGGAAGAACAAGGCUCAAAAGUCAUCUCAGAGGUCGCUAACAGUUUGCAGAAUACUCUGACAAAUGCUGUGAAAGAGCUCAACAAGGUGGACUUGAUAAAAGAAAUUGAGGACGCACCAAUUAUUGGAAAUGUGCUGAAGGCAUUGAGUGGAAUGAUUGGGAAAAUAGUUUCGUUCAACAUUAAAAAUGCCCAACUCCUGAAAAUUUCCCUCACAGAAAAUCAAGACAAAAAGAGUCUCUCUCUCAGUGUGCCCUUGGAUGUCUCUCUGAGUUUGAACACAUUGCUUCUCAAGGCGAUUGAUAUCACUCUAAAUGCGAACACAUCACUUGAACUCACAACUGAAAAGAAUGAAGAUGGAGAAGCUCGCCUGAGUGUUUCCAAAUGUCAGACAAGCUCUCAACUUCUUAAAAUCUCAUCCCAGCAAACGGGUUUAUUUGGAUGGGGACUAGAAGCUUUAUCUAAAUCCGUGAGCCGACUUGCUGAGUGGGAGGUCAAGCAAUUAGUCAACAUUCUCAAGUGUGAUGGGUCCAUAGGUCAACUCCCAGGUCAGUUCUGCCCUUUGAUCAGAACCGUAGUAGGACUGGCGCCUCCAGCACUGGUAGGCGCUUUGCAUGAUGUGGUACAUGGGGACGUCACUGUUACUGUGUAAUUCUCCAUUAAAUGGACAAUAACUUCCCUCCUCCCCCAAGGAUAAGACCCUCUUGCUCUUCUUUUCCUUCUGCCUGAAGCCAUUUAAAGCCAGAGGACAACUUACUGGAU